RNAcentral lists this ribosomal RNA (486 nucleotides) under uncultured Mycobacterium sp. Its description in RNAcentral is "partial 16S ribosomal RNA". Lineage: Bacteria; Bacillati; Actinomycetota; Actinomycetes; Mycobacteriales; Mycobacteriaceae. The record is from RNAcentral.
CACGUAGUCGGCCGGUCCUUCUUCUGCACAUACCGUCACUUGCGCUUCGUCUGUGCUGAAAGAGGUUUACAACCCGAAGGCCGUCAUCCCUCACGCGGCGUCGCUGCAUCAGGCUUGCGCCCAUUGUGCAAUAUCCCCCACUGCUGCCUCCCGUAGGAGUCUGGGCCGUAUCUCAGUCCCAGUGUGGCCGGUCACCCUCUCAGGCCGGCUACCCGUCGUCGCCUUGGUAGGCCAUCACCCCACCAACAAGCUGAUAGGCCGCGGGCCCAUCCCACACCGCAAAAGCUUUCCCCUACCAGGCCAUGCGACCAGCAGGGUAUAUUCGGUAUUAGACCCAGUUUCCCAGGCUUAUCCCAAAGUGCAGGGCAGAUCACCCACGUGUUACUCACCCGUUCGCCACUCGAGUACCCCCGAAAGGGCCUUUCCGUUCGACUUGCAUGUGUUAAGCACGCCGCCAGCGUUCGUCCUGAGCAGGAUCAAACUACU